This 234-nucleotide unclassified non-coding RNA is filed under the name plant metagenome. Its description in RNAcentral is "partial contains small subunit ribosomal RNA, internal transcribed spacer 1, and 5.8S ribosomal RNA". The stretch from base 1 to 53 matches the Rfam family "Eukaryotic small subunit ribosomal RNA", at positions 1778 to 1831 of the family's 1831-position model. The record is from RNAcentral.
GGAAGUAAAAGUCUAACAAGGUUUCCGUAGGUGAACCUGCGGAAGGAUCAUUCAUAAUAAGUGUUUUAUGGCACUUUUUUAAAUCCAUAUCCACCUUGUGUGCAAUGUCAGGGUUGAUUUUUCUCUCGAGAGGAUCAACCCCAAACAUCAACUAUAUCUCAACUCUUUGUCUGAAAAAUAUUAUGAAUAAAACAAUUCAAAAUACAACUUUCAACAACGGAUCUCUUGGCUCUC